Molecule: ribosomal RNA, 402 nt
Filed under: uncultured bacterium
Lineage: Bacteria
Description: bacterial SSU rRNA
Rfam family: Bacterial small subunit ribosomal RNA
Source: RNAcentral
UGGGGAAUAUUGGACAAUGGGGGAAACCCUGAUCCAGCAAUGCCGCGUGAGUGAAGAAGGCCUUAGGGUUGUAAAGCUCUUUCGCCCGCGAAGAUAAUGACGGUAGCGGGAGAAGAAGCCCCGGCUAACUCCGUGCCAGCAGCCGCGGUAAUACGGAGGGGGCUAGCGUUGUUCGGAAUUACUGGGCGUAAAGCGUACGUAGGCGGAUGCGCAAGUUGGGGGUGAAAUCCCGGGGCUUAACCUCGGAAUUGCCCUCAAAACUGCACGUCUUGAGACCGAGAGAGGUAAGGGGAAUUCCUAGUGUAGAGGUGAAAUUCGUAGAUAUUAGGAAGAACACCAGUGGCGAAGGCGCCUCACUGGCUCGGUACUGACGCUGAGGUACGAAAGCGUGGGGAGCAAACA